GACGAACGCUGGCGGCGUGCUUAACACAUGCAAGUCGAACGGAAAGGCCCUGCUUUUGUGGGGUGCUCGAGUGGCGAACGGGUGAGUAACACGUGAGUAACCUGCCCUUGACUUUGGGAUAACUUCAGGAAACUGGGGCUAAUACCGGAUAGUAGCUCCUGCUGCAUGGUGGGGGUUGGAAAGUUUCGGCGGUUGGGGAUGGACUCGCGGCUUAUCAGCUUGUUGGUGGGGUAGUGGCUUACCAAGGCUUUGACGGGUAGCCGGCCUGAGAGGGUGACCGGCCACAUUGGGACUGAGAUACGGCCCAGACUCCCACGGGAGGCAGCAGUGGGGAAUAUUGCACAAUGGGCGGAAGCCUGAUGCAGCAACGCCGCGUGCGGGAUGACGGCCUUCGGGUUGUAAACCGCUUUCGCCUGUGACGAAGCGUGAGUGACGGUAAUGGGUAAAGAAGCACCGGCUAACUACGUG
Molecule: ribosomal RNA, 468 nt
Filed under: uncultured bacterium
Lineage: Bacteria
Description: partial 16S ribosomal RNA
Rfam family: Bacterial small subunit ribosomal RNA
Source: RNAcentral